This 947-nucleotide long non-coding RNA is filed under the name Lonchura striata (white-rumped munia). RNAcentral's name for it is "domestica (Bengalese finch) lncRNA (ENSLSDG00000013085.1)". The record is from RNAcentral. Lineage: Eukaryota; Metazoa; Chordata; Aves; Passeriformes; Estrildidae.
UCCCCAGGGCCAGCCGGGCAGCCGCGGGCAGGACGGGGCGCAGGUACGUGCGGGGGUCGGGGUCCCCGCGGGCGCAGCCCCCCGUGCCCCCCCUGCCAGGCCCUCUCCUCUCUGUGUUUCAGGGCGAGCCGGGCCCCCGGGGCGAGCCGGGCACUUGGGGGGAGGGUUUGCACCAGCUCCGCGAGGCGCUGAAGAUUUUAGCGGAGAGGGUUUUAAUCUUGGAAACAAUGAUUGGGCUCUACGAGCCAGAGCCCGGCUCGGGCAGCGGUGUCCCCAGCACAGCCAUCCCCGGGGUGCCCCACGGCAAGCGUGGCAGCGGCCACCCCCCCUACCGCAUCGUCACCGCCGCCCGCCGCGCCCCCCUGGAGCCGUGACAGGGGCGUCACCCGGGCCACCCCCACCGUGCCACCCUGGAGAGCAGGACGGGCUCAGCCCCGUCCCCCCUCUUGGUGCUACUGGUGGCACGGCACCGUCCCCCCACCACGCUUCGCCCCCAUCGCCGCUGCUUGAGCCCCCGGGAGGGCCAGGGCUGUCCCCAAGGCCAUUUCUGUCCCCCGGGCAAGGCGCAGCUCCGGGGGGGUGGGCUCUGUCUCAUCCCAUCUCCCCGGGCACCCCAGCCCAGGGGAGGGGAUUGGGGGGCUGGCGGUGGGCACCCCCCGGGCGGGGAGCCCGCCGUGCUGCGCGCUUCGCUGCUUGGGGACCCGCCAGGUCAUUAAAUGUCCCCAAAUCCCUGUCCUGUGGGGUCGCUUGGUGCGCCGGGGGGUGGGAUGGGAUGGGAUCUAUGGGAUGGGAUCCAUGGGAUAGGAUCUAUGGGACCCAUGAGGUGGGGGGGAUGGGAUGGGAUGGGAUGGGAUGGGAUGGGAUGGGAUGGGAUGGGAUGGGACGGGACGGGAUGGGAUGGGACGGGAUAGGACGGGAUCCAUGGGAUGGGAUAGGAUCUAUGGGAU